UACGUAGGGGGCUAGCGUUGUCCGGAAUCAUUGGGCGUAAAGAGCGUGUAGGCGGUCCGGUAAGUCCGUUGUGAAAGUCAGGGGCUCAACCCUUGAAUGCCGGCGGAUACUGUCGGGCUAGAGUCCGGAAGAGGCAAGUGGAAUUCCCGGUGUAGCGGUGAAAUGCGCAGAUAUCGGGAGGAACACCUAUGGCGAAGGCAGCUUGCUGGGACGGUACUGACGCUGAGACGCGAAAGCGUGGGGAGCGAACAGG
Molecule: ribosomal RNA, 253 nt
Filed under: uncultured bacterium
Lineage: Bacteria
Description: partial 16S ribosomal RNA
Rfam family: Bacterial small subunit ribosomal RNA
Source: RNAcentral